AUAUGUUCGCAAACUAAGACAAGAAUGCUCGUGGAACUCAAUAUGCAGAUAGAUAUUUUAAUUACGGUGUAAGUUGUUUUUUUUUAACAGAUACCUUUGGUAACAAAAUGAAAAGUUCUUAGAAAGUCCUGUAGUAAUUAUGUUUAGCCACAAGAUGGUGUUGGUAACAGUUAGAAUAACAGUUCAAAUAUAAAGUCUUGUAUUGAUGCGGUUUGGUCACCUGAUGGCGUGCAGAAUAACAAAACAAAUGGUAGCAGUGAAAAAUCAACAAUCCUGAAAUGCAGGCAAUAAGGUAAGAACUAAACAAAGAAGUACUGUCUGAAUAAGAGGAAUAACAACGUCUUACUUUCUUCUUAGAAACAGUCCAUAUGAGGAGGAACGGACCCCAGAACAUAAGGAUUUCACUCAGCAAGAUUACAGGAAACGACCACAGAAGUCGGACUGGGGUCACCAGGACAACUUCACAGUAGGUGGAGACUAGGGGAGCAGUGUGGUGAAACGAUUCUUACCACGAUGUACCGGGAGCGGUGGUGCAGGGUAUAGCCCAGUGUUAAGCAGGUUAGAGAAAUGCUGUAGGCUUGCGCCAGAAACCAGAGCGGUACUAACAAGUAGCCACAGUUGCUCCAGCA
Pelobates cultripes (western spadefoot toad) is the source of this 629-nucleotide non-coding RNA. NCBI's taxonomy places the organism in Eukaryota, Metazoa, Chordata, Amphibia, Anura, Pelobatidae. The record is from the annotation of a GenBank genome assembly.